Molecule: ribosomal RNA, 429 nt
Filed under: Pseudomonadota bacterium
Lineage: Bacteria; Pseudomonadati; Pseudomonadota
Description: Proteobacteria bacterium partial 16S ribosomal RNA
Rfam family: Bacterial small subunit ribosomal RNA
Source: RNAcentral
UGGGGAAUAUUGGACAAUGGGCGAAAGCCUGAUCCAGCCAUGCCGCGUGUGUGAAGAAGGUCUUCGGAUUGUAAAGCACUUUAAGUUGGGAGGAAGGGCAGUAAGCGAAUACCUUGCUGUUUUGACGUUACCGACAGACUAAGCACCGGCUAACUCUGUGCCAGCAGCCGCGGUAAUACAGAGGGUGCAAGCGUUAAUCGGAAUUACUGGGCGUAAAGCGCGCGUAGGUGGUUCGUUAAGUUGAAUGUGAAAGCCCCGGGCUCAACCUGGGAACUGCAUCCAAAACUGGCGGGCUAGAGUAGGGCAGAGGGUGGUGGAAUUUCCUGUGUAGCGGUGAAAUGCGUAGAUAUAGGAAGGAACACCAGUGGCGAAGGCGACCACCUGGGCUCAUACUGACACUGAGGUGCGAAAGCGUGGGGAGCAAACAGG